CGACUGAGUGGCGGACGGGUGAGUAACGCGUAGGCAACCUGCCCCAUACAGGGGGAUAACAGUCAGAAAUGACUGCUAACACCGCAUAAGCGCACAGGGCCGCAUGGCCCGGUGUGAAAAACUCCGGUGGUAUGGGAUGGGCCCGCGGCCUGUUAGCUAGUCGGCGGGGUAACGGCCCACCGAGGCGAUUAUGGGUAGCCGGGUUGAGAGACCGACCGGCCAGAUUGGGACUGAGACACGGCCCAGACUCCUACGGGAGGCAGCAG
Molecule: ribosomal RNA, 266 nt
Filed under: uncultured bacterium
Lineage: Bacteria
Description: partial 16S ribosomal RNA
Rfam family: Bacterial small subunit ribosomal RNA
Source: RNAcentral